GUAGGUGGCAAGCGUUGUCCGGAAUUAUUGGGCGUAAAGCGCGCGCAGGCGGUUCUUUAAGUCUGAUGUGAAAGCCCACGGCUCAACCGUGGAGGGUCAUUGGAAACUGGAGAACUUGAGUACAGAAGAGGAAAGCGGAAUUCCACGUGUAGCGGUGAAAUGCGUAGAGAUGUGGAGGAACACCAGUGGCGAAGGCGGCUUUCUGGUCUGUAACUGACGCUGAGGCGCGAAGGCGUGGGGAGCAAACAGGAUUAGAUACCCUGGUAGUCCACGCCGUAAACCGAUGAGUGCUAAGUGUUAGGGGAUUUCCGCCCCUUAGUGCUGCAGCUAACGCAUUAAGCACUCCGCCUGGGAGUACGGCCGCAAGGCUG
Molecule: ribosomal RNA, 371 nt
Filed under: uncultured organism
Description: partial 16S ribosomal RNA
Rfam family: Bacterial small subunit ribosomal RNA
Source: RNAcentral